AACCAGACUUGCGCGCGGCCGAUCAUCCGGUGUUCUCACCGGUGCACUCGGCCGUGCUCAGGCCAGCAUCGGUUUUGGCGGCUGGAUAAAGGCCCUAGGAAUGUGGCUCCUCUCGGGGAGUGUUAUAGCCUAGGGUGCAAUGCAGCCUGCUGGGACCGAGGACCGCGCUUCGGCUAGGAUGCUGGCGUAAUGGUUGUAAGCGGCCCGUCUUGA
This 213-nucleotide ribosomal RNA is filed under the name Chrysosporium sp. f28. RNAcentral describes it as "partial 28S ribosomal RNA". Lineage: Eukaryota; Fungi; Ascomycota; Eurotiomycetes; Onygenales; Onygenaceae. The record is from RNAcentral.